CUACCUGCCCAGUCUCUCAGGAGGCCUGUGGGACACCCCACCCCCACCCUCCCCUUCUCGGCCUUCGCGAGUGUGGACGUCCCCGGGCACUGGCGAGUCCCUCCAG
Molecule: non-coding RNA, 106 nt
Organism: Myotis lucifugus (little brown bat)
Lineage: Eukaryota; Metazoa; Chordata; Mammalia; Chiroptera; Vespertilionidae
Source: Rfam